This is a long non-coding RNA of Rhipicephalus microplus (southern cattle tick), 327 nucleotides long. RefSeq lists it as uncharacterized. NCBI's taxonomy places the organism in Eukaryota, Metazoa, Arthropoda, Arachnida, Ixodida, Ixodidae. The record is from RefSeq and is a predicted model, not a curated record.
UGCUCGUAGCGCAAGCCAUACAUGGUAUCAGAAGCGGCCCCUUGACCCCGGAGGGAACCGUCCUCGCGUCUGCUACUUCAAGGAUAUUCUGAAGACUCCGGAGCCAGUGCGGCUGUCCGGCAACGGCCUGCAAAAAUAAUUGAAGCAGCUGAAAACGGAAGCAUCAAAGGCGGCGCUACUGCUGAGCAUUGCCGGUGACGACGUGUCGGACGUCUUCAACAACUUCGAGUUCGGGCCGAACGAGGACAAGAACGACUACAGCACCGUGUGUCCCGUACAAUUGUGACCAAGCACCGCCUAGACAAAGCUGGUAAACCUUUGGUAGUA